UUAAUUGUCAGAUCCAGUAUACUAAAAUUGGAAUGAUACAGAGAAGAUUAGUAUGGUCCCUGAGCAAGGAUGACACAGUAAAUUCGUGAAGCAUUCUAUAUUUUU
Molecule: small nuclear RNA, 105 nt
Organism: Rhinolophus ferrumequinum (greater horseshoe bat)
Lineage: Eukaryota; Metazoa; Chordata; Mammalia; Chiroptera; Rhinolophidae
Source: Ensembl